AUUGAACGCUGGCGGCAUGCCUUACACAUGCAAGUCGAACGGCAGCGGGGGAGAAGCUUGCUUUUCCUGCCGGCGAGUGGCGAACGGGUGAGUAAUACAUCGGAACGUGCCCUGUAGUGGGGGAUAACUAGUCGAAAGAUUAGCUUAUACCGCAUACGACCUGAGGGUGAAAGUGGGGGGCCGCAAGGCCUCAUGCUAUAGGAGCGGCCGAUGUCUGAUUAGCUAGUUGGUGGGGUAAAGGCCUACCAAGGCGACGAUCAGUAGCUGGUCUGGGAGGACGAUCAGCCACACUGGGACUGAGACACGGCCCAGACUCCUACGGGAGGCAGCAGUGGGGAAUUUUGGACAAUGGGCGAAAGCCUGAUCCAGCAAUGCCGCGUGUGUGAAGAAGGCCUUCGGGUUGUAAAGCACUUUUGUCCGGAAAGAAAUGGCUCUGGUUAAUACCUGGGGUCGAUGACGGUACCGGAAGAAUAAGGACCGGCUAACUACGUGCCAGCCGCCGCGGUAA
Molecule: ribosomal RNA, 508 nt
Filed under: uncultured bacterium
Lineage: Bacteria
Description: partial 16S ribosomal RNA
Rfam family: Bacterial small subunit ribosomal RNA
Source: RNAcentral